This is a non-coding RNA of Enterococcus dispar ATCC 51266, 70 nucleotides long. NCBI's taxonomy places the organism in Bacteria, Bacillati, Bacillota, Bacilli, Lactobacillales, Enterococcaceae. The record is from Rfam.
AGAGUGUUAUGAUGUUGGAAGUAAAUUCCGAGUCUAGCUCAGCGCCGCCCCUUAGUUUAUACUAAGGGGC